UACGUAGGUGGCAAGCGUUGUCCGGAAUUAUUGGGCGUAAAGCGCGCGCAGGUGGUUUCUUAAGUCUGAUGUGAAAGCCCACGGCUCAACCGUGGAGGGUCAUUGGAAACUGGGGAACUUGAGUGCAGGAGAGAAGAGUGGAAUUCCACGUGUAGCGGUGAAAUGCGUAGAGAUGUGGAGGAACACCAGUGGCGAAGGCGACUCUUUGGCCUGUAACUGACACUGAGGCGCGAAAGCGUGGGGAGCAAACAAG
Molecule: ribosomal RNA, 253 nt
Filed under: uncultured bacterium
Lineage: Bacteria
Description: partial 16S ribosomal RNA
Rfam family: Bacterial small subunit ribosomal RNA
Source: RNAcentral